This is a long non-coding RNA of Anopheles stephensi (Asian malaria mosquito), 2756 nucleotides long. RefSeq lists it as uncharacterized. NCBI's taxonomy places the organism in Eukaryota, Metazoa, Arthropoda, Insecta, Diptera, Culicidae. The record is from RefSeq and is a predicted model, not a curated record. The transcript is spliced from 4 exons.
UCCUGAGUGAAAAAAAAUAGUGAACAAGUGUGUAGAGAAUUUGUUCUAGCUUUGCGUUAACUAUCAAGCAACUUACAUACGUUUGCGAUUAAGUGACGCAAAUUGCUUACAUUUCUCAAGUGCAUUCCUUGUAGUAGUGUUCGAAGUGUAACAAUGUCGGUCAAAAGAAUGCGUCGAACCGGCCAAACCAGCAAGAUUAUCAAAGCUAAUAACGCUAAACUAGAGGCAGAAUUAUUUGGCGAGAGCAGUUCAUUCGGUGCUAACAUCAUUCCUGCAGCAACCACGUAUGAAGAUCCGGAACCAAUUAGCCAUCAUUCGUCAUAGCCGAUAAGCUCAUCCAAAUACGCGUUAGAGCUAUCAUCGCAGAUUCACCAGCGCGUGCGUUCAUAAAAGGUGUUGCAUACUUCAAUCAUAAACAUGGGUGCCAAAAAUGUACAGUAGAAGGAAAACAUCACAGUGCGGCACGUGUUUCCUAUUUUCUGGAUAUCGACGUAGUGGAGUAACAUUGCAUGUAAAUUAUAAUAUGCGUCUAUAUCCAUGUACUCAAGGUAAUUGGUUUUUAACUAAGGAUUUAUAUAUUGCUAAAUAUUGUAAGGCAGAAAAAAUAGGAUCAACGAUUAACAUUUAUGGGACAGCAUUUAACAAAAUGACAGAAACUCAUACAUUCUUUUGUUCGCCUAUGAUGAAAGACAUAUAUGAGGCAAAUACAAGCGACCUUACCAUAGAAUCGAUAGUUUUUUCAUCAACAGAUAUCAAGUGUAAAUUAGUAGCUAUUAAAACGGACGACACGAACUAUGUAUUUGUACCUCUCAUACAGACAUUAGUUGAAUGAAUAACUGUAAUAUUUUGAAUUAUCAAUUGUUAUGUUAUAAUAAAAAGUAAUAUUGUAAUUGUUUUCGAAAAAAUAAAUAAUAAUCACAUAUAAUCUGGUGUAUAUUACAUUGUAUUUGCGGCAAUCAGUAUACUGAUGAACCUUUCAAUAUUAAAUAUUUACUUUUAUCACAUACAUAAUUGACUUAGUUGUUUACGUGAUUGUUUCAGGUUUUAGUCAGUGUUUAAUUUAUCACAGCUUGUGUUACUUUCGUAUCACAUUUUUUGUCAUAAUUUUAUAUGACAGCAGUCUUUCACGUGGCCGGAUCGAACAACGUAUCCCAUUUGGAUCGUUUUGCUAUACGCAGGACGCAGCUACGAAUAAAAUUAAGAUAGUCAGAAUUAAAUAUAUACACUACUUAAACCUAUGUUUGGUAAAUAUGAAAAAGGCAAUACGACCGUUCUAAUUAAAAAAAAACAAAAAUUAAAACGUUAAGAGACUACAAAAGGAAAUAUAAAAACUAAAUAAAACUUAAACUAAAUAAUAACUUAAAUAUAAAUUUACAUAGUGCGUCUUGUGCGACUGAAAGUUUUUCUAAUGCCUUGCAUUGCUACUCUUUUAGGAGCAUAUGCAAGCUUUUUUUUUAUGUACAUUUCUACGAAGUUUAUAUCUACUUCUACGCCCAUGUGGUUUGUGGCUACAUUUUUUAAAAAUUGCAUAGUAUGUACAUAGUUUUUGAAGGCUAUUUUUCUUCCACCCGAUCCGAGCCAGCUACACUUGGCUAAAAAUUGUUUGUCGAACAUUAUAUCCAACACUUCAUGCAGUCGGCUUUUCGCGUUUUGGCUGGAUAAUUCAGCAUCCGCACGCUGUAUGAAGGUGUAAAACAAAUUUUCAUCUGUAAGAUGCUCUUCAAACCUGUCCAGUGACUCUUCGUUGCUUAUAUAUUGUAUCGGGAUGGUUUGAGCAUUGCGUCGCACGCCUUUCAUCGGGUGUAUUGUGGCCGAAAUUUCAUUCACUAUCGCAGCCGUUUGGGCGGUUCGGGCAUCCAGUUUUAAUAAUAAACAGUGUGAACAAAAAUCGUGCCCAGGACAAGUUGUUUUUGCUUGAACUAACUCUGUGUUCUUAUUUACAUUAAUAGAUACCGUGGACGGAUGAAUGCUGCUUGCUGACGACUGCUCUUCUUGAAAUGUUGAUCCCGGUGAUGAUGAAACACACGGUUCCGGUGUCAUGCUUGGUGACGGCUGACGGAAUCCUUGAUGCACGACAGUCGUUUUUGCCGGUCGCGCAAAGUCAUGCACGCAUGAACCAGCAGCUGAAGCAACAGACGAUUUCGGCGUCACACUUGUGGUCGCUAGUGGAACAAUACGCACGGAACUAGCAGGCACAAGAAUCAUUCCACGUAUCGCUUUCGUUGAGGGCUGCGAUCCUCGCUUUUGUGCCAUCGAUCCUGCCGGACGCGUAGCGAUAUCCACGGAACCAGCAUUGAGAGCAGUAGAAGAUUCCGACGUCGCAGACGAUCCUGCCGGCCGCGGAAUGACACGCAUGGAACCUGCAGCGGGAACAAAUGCCGGUACCGGCGUCGCACUAGUGGACGGCUGCGAUCCUCGCUUUUGUUCCACCGAUCCUGCCGGUCGCGUAGCGAUAUCCAUGGAACCAGCAUCGGGGGCAAGAGACGGUUCCGGCGUCGGUCUUGAUGACGUUCGCGGUCCAAAAACACGGACAAUCGCCCCUGUGGAGCAUAAUACAGCCGAAGGCAGUUGUUGCAGUGCAAAAAGGCACCCUUUCUUUGGUGGUUCCGACAUUAUAUUUUGGCUGAAAUAAUCAAUCGUUUUAUUAUUUUUUAUGUGAAACUGCUGAGUCGAAUUUGAAUGCUGCUUUGCGCCUUGAAAUCUGAAUGUUUAUGUUUUCAGCUGUGACUUUGAAUAAAGGGUAACAAUCACACGCA